AGAAGAGUCGCACAUGCGCAGAAGGUUAUGUCAGAGCACAACGGGAAGUGCUUUUUAAGGCUGAGAUUCUGUUCCCAGGUCCUGAUCAGCUCUUCCCAGCCUCAGAGAAGCCAUGGGAGCCUGCCGCAUCCAGUAUGUCCUGCUCCUCUCUCUACUGGGCUUCUGCCCCUGCUCAGAUACUCUGACCUGCCAGAUGGGAUCCAUGGUGCGUUUGGGCAGUGACCUCACUAGGAAUGAAGUUGAAUGGAUAGAACUGAAGACUGUGGAAACUAGCGGUGAAGAGAUAUGUCAGGAGAUAUUUCUGCUCAUAGAUGUAGGUACAACAGCUCUCAUAUUGGGGAGCAAAGGUCCCAGCAUACCGAGUCAUAGAAAUGUCAGAAACAUCACGGUGUUUGCCCGUGGACCUGGAUUAAAGGCUAUCAUUUUUUACCACAUAUGUGACAUUGAACUGUGCAACAGAGCUAACAGCACCAGAAUGCUAAUUGACUCCAUCCCUUCUGUAGCCCCUACUGUGCGAGGAAGGCAGCCUUGUCCUAUCUGCUUGCAUUUUAAGGGUAUUUGCAACUCCUACACCAACCUUGCCAUCUGUCCUAGAGGCACUCGAUGUUAUAAGAGUGACCUGGCACUCCAUGGAGGUAAGGGAUGAGGCUGCCUUCCCGGAUGGAGGAGACUGUGGCCAUGACUCCAGCGCCUCAGGAGGAGGGAUGAAGUCUCCUGGCUCUGAGGGAGGUGGCAUCAGUGCAAUCUUUAGCAUUUCUGGAUGUCUGGUCUAUCCUCAAAAAUUCUUAAUGAAAAAUCAAAGUUCAGUCGGGACGAUCUCCCUAUUAGAAACCCUUUUGAUGCCAAAGAGCAAGUCACCCUCACACGAACUUGUCCCGAGCAUCUUACUGACCUGCAUGUUUGGGCUCUUAGCCCUUUGUUUACAGAGAUCUGUCCUCUCUGCUGAACCCAUUUCCUGACCAUUCUUAAUCCCUCUUGGCCACCCAGACCCAGCCCUCCUCUGACUUCAAAGACCUGAGGCUGGACGCUGUCGGCCUGCGCUGUCGGGCGCCAUCAUCCCUCACCCACACACCUCUGCCCCUCAUGCUUAGACUUGGGAGCCACUGAGCCCAGCCGGCUCCAGAGCAGACAAGCACACGUUGACCACGUGUGGAAAAAUAAAGUUGCUGUUGUUUGUCCAA
RNA transcript from Mus musculus (house mouse), 1181 nucleotides. It is a transcript of the gene named predicted gene 1096, with no coding region annotated. NCBI's taxonomy places the organism in Eukaryota, Metazoa, Chordata, Mammalia, Rodentia, Muridae. The transcript is spliced from 6 exons. The record is from RefSeq and is marked validated.